GACGAACGCUGGCGGCGUGCUUAACACAUGCAAGUCGAACGGAAAGGCCCUGCUUUUGUGGGGUGCUCGAGUGGCGAACGGGUGAGUAACACGUGAGUAACCUGCCCUUGACUUUGGGAUAACUUCAGGAAACUGGGGCUAAUACCGGAUAGGAGCUCCUGCUGCAUGGUGGGGGUUGGAAAGUUUCGGCGGUAUGGGAUAGACUCGCGGCUUAUGAGCUUGUUGGUGGGGUAGUUGCUUACCAAGGGUUUGACGGGUAGCCGGCCUGAGAGGGUGACCGGCCACAUUGGGACUGAGAUACGGCCCAGACUCCUACGGGAGGCAGCAGUGGGGAAUAUUGCACAAUGGGCGGAAGCCUGAUGCAGCAACGCCGCGUGCGGGAUGACGGCCUUCGGGUUGUAAACCGCUUUCGCCUGUGACGAAGCGUGAGUGACGGUAAUGGGUAAAGAAGCAACGGCUAACUACGUG
Molecule: ribosomal RNA, 468 nt
Filed under: uncultured bacterium
Lineage: Bacteria
Description: partial 16S ribosomal RNA
Rfam family: Bacterial small subunit ribosomal RNA
Source: RNAcentral